GCAUGGCCUUUAUAUCCUGGGCUACACACACGCUACAAUGGCCAACACAAUAGGUUGCUAAGCCGCGAGGUGGCGCCAAUCCAUAAAGUUGGUCUCAGUUCAGAUUGUAGGCUACAACCCGCCUGCAUGAAGAUGGAGUUGCUAGUAACCGCAGGUCAGCUAUACUGCGGUGAAUACGUUCCCGGGGCUU
This 190-nucleotide ribosomal RNA is filed under the name uncultured Leptolinea sp. Its description in RNAcentral is "partial 16S ribosomal RNA". It matches the Rfam family "Bacterial small subunit ribosomal RNA", at positions 1193 to 1382 of the family's 1533-position model. The record is from RNAcentral. Lineage: Bacteria; Bacillati; Chloroflexota; Anaerolineae; Anaerolineales; Anaerolineaceae.